AGGCGUGUAAGUUAAUUUAAACUACGGGGUUCAUGUCCCCGCAAUAUGUUUUAAACCAUCUCGCCUA
This 67-nucleotide transfer RNA is filed under the name Acanthobothrium sp. MZUSP 8033. Its description in RNAcentral is "tRNA-Met". Lineage: Eukaryota; Metazoa; Platyhelminthes; Cestoda; Tetraphyllidea; Onchobothriidae. The record is from RNAcentral. RNAcentral also lists the same sequence under 2 other names.